CGAGGAUCGGGUGUCGGAUGAGGAGAAGGUACGCAUAGCCGCUAAAUUCAUCACCCAUGCACCCCCAGGGGAGUUCAAUGAAGUAUUCAAUGAUGUCCGGCUACUGCUUAAUAAUGACAAUCUUCUCAGGGAAGGGGCAGCACAGUAAGUACCUCUUAAACCCACUGUUGGGAGGACAGCUUGGUGACUAGAGUUUGACUAGCCUGUGCAAGGUACUCAGUGUGGGUUAGCACCGCAAACCAACAAUCACAUUUCAUGCCUCCUAGAGUAUUGCUCUAACAUCAGAUAAGCUGGUGACAGUAAACUGGUACCUUGAAAACCAAAUUUGAGACACUUGAAAAUAAAGCAGUUAGUCUCUGUGGGGUUUUGUUGUUGUUAUAUCUAUGACCAUGUAUUUGAGGGAUUCUUAAAAGAAUGUGUUUGUUUGUUUGUUUGUUUGUUUGUUUGUUUGUUUGCUUGUUUGUUAGUUACUCCAUGUCAACAGUGUUAGUUCAUAGUCCAUGGCCAUAUUGAUUCUAGACCCAGGUAAGAUAGACCAUCAUGAUGUCACAAACAUGUGACAGAUUUCUUACCUAAUGGCAAAUAAGCAGGCAGGGCUUCGGAUAAGAUACAGCCCAAGGACAUGCCCUAGUAACCUAUCUUUUCCACCUAGGCCUUUUUCCUUAAGUUUCUAGAACCUCCUCAAAUCAUUGCCAGCUGGGGACCAGACCUUCAAAACCAAGCCAAGGCAGUCAGUCUCUUUAGCUAUAGAAAACAGUUUUGAGAGCUGUUGCCUAGGAAAUAAUUACUAUCUUUUAUGGUAAUAGUUCAUAUCCAAACCAUAAGUCUUAUUUACUUUUGUUUCCUUCUCUCUCCUUUUUAAAUUUUAUUUUUA
Molecule: long non-coding RNA, 874 nt
Filed under: Rattus norvegicus (Norway rat)
Lineage: Eukaryota; Metazoa; Chordata; Mammalia; Rodentia; Muridae
Description: long non-coding RNA NONRATT016746
Source: RNAcentral